RNAcentral lists this ribosomal RNA (450 nucleotides) under uncultured bacterium. RNAcentral's name for it is "partial 16S ribosomal RNA". It matches the Rfam family "Bacterial small subunit ribosomal RNA", at positions 354 to 796 of the family's 1533-position model. The record is from RNAcentral.
GUGGGGAAUAUUGGACAAUGGGCGAAAGCCUGAUCCAGCCAUGCCGCGUGUGUGAAGAAGGUCUUCGGAUUGUAAAGCACUUUAAGUUGGGAGGAAGGGCAGUAAGUUAAUACCUUGCUGUUUUGACGUUACCAAUAGAAUAAGCACCGGCUAACUUCGUGCCAGCAGCCGCGGUAAUACGAAGGGUGCAAGCGUUAAUCGGAAUUACUGGGCGUAAAGCGCGCGUAGGUGGUUUUGUAAGUUGGAGGUGAAAUCCCCGGGCUCAACCUGGGAACUGCCUCCAAAACUGCAUGACUAGAGUACGGUAGAGGGUAGUGGAAUUUCCUGUGUAGCGGUGAAAUGCGUAGAUAUAGGAAGGAACACCAGUGGCGAAGGCGACUACCUGGACUGAUACUGACACUGAGGUGCGAAAGCGUGGGGAGCAAACAGGAUUAGAUACCCCGGUAGUCC